UACGGAGGGUGCGAGCGUUAUCCGGAAUUACUGGGCUUAAAGGGUGCGUAGGCGGCUCUGUAAGUCAGGUGUGAAAGUUUGCGGCUCAACCGUAAAAUUGCUUUUGAUACUGCGGGGCUAGAAUUAGGAUGAGGUCAGCGGAAUGUGGCAUGUAGCGGUGAAAUGCAUAGAUAUGCCAUAGAACACCAAUUGCGAAGGCAGCUGGCUAGACCUGGAUUGACGCUGAGGCACGAAAGCGUGGGGAGCGAACAGG
RNAcentral lists this ribosomal RNA (253 nucleotides) under uncultured bacterium. Its description in RNAcentral is "partial 16S ribosomal RNA". It matches the Rfam family "Bacterial small subunit ribosomal RNA", at positions 524 to 776 of the family's 1533-position model. The record is from RNAcentral.